Molecule: ribosomal RNA, 254 nt
Filed under: uncultured bacterium
Lineage: Bacteria
Description: partial 16S ribosomal RNA
Rfam family: Bacterial small subunit ribosomal RNA
Source: RNAcentral
UACGUAGGGUGCAAGCAUUAAUCGGAAUUAUUGGGCGUAAAGGGCGCGUAGGCGGUAAAACAAGUCAGAUGUGAAAUUCCAAAGCUCAACUUUGGAGCUGCAUAUGAAACUGUUUAACUAAGAGGAGUGGCGGAGAAAGCGGAAUUCCACGUGUAGCGGUGAAAUGCGUAGAUAUGUGGAAGAACACCGGUGGCGAAAGCGGCUUUCUAGCUACUAACUGACGCUGAGGCGCGAGAGCAAGGGGAGCAAACAGG